This 650-nucleotide ribosomal RNA is filed under the name uncultured marine bacterium. RNAcentral's name for it is "bacterial SSU rRNA". It matches the Rfam family "Bacterial small subunit ribosomal RNA", at positions 80 to 726 of the family's 1533-position model. The record is from RNAcentral.
GCACCCCGCUGACGAGCGGCGGACGGGUGAGUAAUGCUUAGGAAUCUGCCCAGUAGUGGGGGACAACAGUCGGAAACGGCUGCUAAUACCGCAUACGCCCUACGGGGGAAAGCAGGGGAUCUUCGGACCUUGCGCUAUUGGAUGAGCCUAAGUCGGAUUAGCUAGUUGGUGGGGUAAAGGCCUACCAAGGCGACGAUCCGUAGCUGGUCUGAGAGGAUGAUCAGCCACAUCGGGACUGAGACACGGCCCGAACUCCUACGGGAGGCAGCAGUGGGGAAUAUUGGACAAUGGGGGCAACCCUGAUCCAGCCAUGCCGCGUGUGUGAAGAAGGCUUUCGGGUUGUAAAGCACUUUCAGCGAGGAGGAAGGCCUUAAAGUUAAUACCUUUAAGGAUUGACGUUACUCGCAGAAGAAGCACCGGCUAACUCCGUGCCAGCAGCCGCGGUAAUACGGAGGGUGCAAGCGUUAAUCGGAAUUACUGGGCGUAAAGCGCGCGUAGGUGGUUUGGUAAGCGAGAUGUGAAAGCCCCGGGCUUAACCUGGGAACGGCAUUUCGAACUGUCAGACUAGAGUGUGGUAGAGGGUAGUGGAAUUUCCUGUGUAGCGGUGAAAUGCGUAGAUAUAGGAAGGAACACCAGUGGCGAAGGCGGCU